UACGAAGGGGGCUAGCGUUGUUCGGAUUUACUGGGCGUAAAGCGCACGUAGGCGGGUCGUUAAGUCGGGGGUGAAAUCCUGGAGCUCAACUCCAGAACUGCCUUCGAUACUGGCGACCUAGAGUCCGGAAGAGGUGAGUGGAACUCCUAGUGUAGAGGUGGAAUUCGUAGAUAUUAGGAAGAACACCAGUGGUGAAGGCGGCUCACUGGUCCGGUACUGACGCUGAGGCGCGAAAGCGUGGGGAGCGAACAGG
RNAcentral lists this ribosomal RNA (253 nucleotides) under uncultured bacterium. Its description in RNAcentral is "partial 16S ribosomal RNA". It matches the Rfam family "Bacterial small subunit ribosomal RNA", at positions 524 to 776 of the family's 1533-position model. The record is from RNAcentral.